Long non-coding RNA from Rhinolophus ferrumequinum (greater horseshoe bat), 512 nucleotides. RefSeq lists it as uncharacterized. The record is from RefSeq and is a predicted model, not a curated record. The transcript is spliced from 3 exons. Lineage: Eukaryota; Metazoa; Chordata; Mammalia; Chiroptera; Rhinolophidae.
CAGGGGAAGUUGCCGGCCUCGAGGCUAUCCCUGGGCGCUGACCUGAAGCGUCGGGAGCCGGCGAAGAAUCGGCGUUUCUGUCUUUUCUUCAGUCCUCGCUUCUGGGAUGUCACGCGCAAUAGCUUGAGGGCGACUCUGCCUGUUCUUGGGUCCUGCCCGACCAUGUCUUAACGUGGAACCGGAGGCGGAGGCUGCUAAGUUUGCGGGAGAGGAGUCAUUGGGCCCGAAGACGGUUGCCAACACGUAGGGAAUGAGGCCGCUUGAAAAACUAAUGAAUCCCAUUCUCUCACGGAUUUUAGGAUUGUCCAGGUGUUCACAUUAAAGGAUGUGAAAGAGGUGAGCUCGUUACAGUCACCUCUGGAAGCAUUGUGGUCAAAUCCCACUGGUGGGUGGGUCCUGUGGUUCUUCUGGCUGAUGCCCUCUCCGAGCUCCUCUCGUCGUCACUGAGAAACCAGCUUCUCUCUGGCUUUCAGGUUUCCGGCCAUGGCUCUGCUGGCUCCAGUUGGCUCUGG